GAUGAACGCUGGCGGCGUGCUUAACACAUGCAAGUCGAACGGAAAGGCCCUGCUUUUGUGGGGUUCUCGUGUGGCGAGCGGGUGAGUAACACGUGAGUAACCUGCCCUUGUCUUUGGGAUAACUUCAGGAAACUGGGGAUAAUACCGGAUAGGAGCUCCUGCUACGUGGUGGGGGUUAGAAAGUUUCGGCGGUUGGGGAUGGACUCGCGGCUUAUCAGCUUGUUGGUGGGGUAGUGGCUUAGCCAGGCUUGGACGGGUAGCCGGCCUGAGAGUGUGGCCGGCCACAUGGGGACUGAGAUACGCCCCAGUCCGCUACGGGAGGCAACUGGGGGGUAUAUUGCACAAUGGGCGGAAGCCUGAUGCAGCAACGCCGCGUGCGGUAUGACGGCCUUCGGGGUGUAAACCGCUUUCGACUGUGACGAAGCGUGAGUGACGGUAAUGGGUAAAGAAGCACCGGCUAACUACGUG
This 468-nucleotide ribosomal RNA is filed under the name uncultured bacterium. RNAcentral's name for it is "partial 16S ribosomal RNA". It matches the Rfam family "Bacterial small subunit ribosomal RNA", at positions 28 to 507 of the family's 1533-position model. The record is from RNAcentral.